CUUCAAGGUGAUCAAAUGGGAAUCCCAUCGGAAUCGAACCACAGAGAUGGUUGUUGCUGAGGUCCAAAUGUCCGAUGUACUUUGCCGACGACAGAGAUUUCGGUAUCGCGCCUUUCAAUUUGUUGAAUGACAAGUCCAGCACGGAGAAGUACGUCCGUGGAGUGAAAACGUCUGGCAAGUAGCCGUCGAGAGAGUUUCGGCUCAGAUUCACUAUGUUUAGACCAGUGUUGCUUAGUAGACUUACCGGAAUUUGUCCGGUGAGUUGGUUGCUGUCUAAAUUGAGUGUCGAGAGGACAGGCAUUGAACCGAGUUGAGCAGGAAUUGAACCGGAGAUCCUGUUCAUCGACAGAUCUAAAUCUGCGAGACGGUAAAUGCCGGCGAUUGAGCUUGGAAUGCUACCUGAAAUUUGGUUACGGUUUAAAAGAGCUCUGCUCAUCAUCGAUAGCUUUCCGAGAUCCGCAGGGAGUACGCCGGUGAUCUGAUUGUUGCUCAGAUCUAGGUGCAUUAGCCUCGCGAGGUUCACAAUGGACGAUGGGAUCUCACCGCUGAUUUUGUUGUCAGCGACGUUCAGAACAGUUAAUUUCCCUAACUUUCCGAUGUCGGCAGGGAGUUUUCCGGUGAGCUGGUUCCCGAUGAGGUCUAGGAUGCGGAGGUGAGGGAGAGAAGUUAUACACGCCGGUAUCUCACCAGAAAUCCCCUUCCAGUCGGCGACAACAAGCGUUGUAAGCCGGUCCAGCGAACAUAGAGAAGGAGAGAGUGAACCGGUCAUGUACCCAGACCGGCCGGCCUUCUCGAAAAUCUUAUCUUCCGACUCGCCACGUAGUACAACGUCAUUGACCCGACUGUCAGUCGGGUCGCAGCUGAUUCCAUACCAGUUACUGCAGCAGUCUGUGCCGGUCCAGGUCUUGAAGAUGCCCAAAUAAGGCUCAUUCAAGGCGGACUUGAACGCCAACAAUGCUUCCCGGUCCGACGGCGGGCAUGAGUUGACGACGGUGGAGCUAAAGACGGCGACUAAUAAUACCACCACCAGAUAUACACCG
RNAcentral lists this long non-coding RNA (1040 nucleotides) under Lactuca sativa (garden lettuce). Its description in RNAcentral is "long non-coding RNA (LSAT_LNC000773)". The record is from RNAcentral. Lineage: Eukaryota; Viridiplantae; Streptophyta; Magnoliopsida; Asterales; Asteraceae.